UGAAUCAGUGUGUGUGUUAGUGGAAGCGUCUGGAAAGGCGCGCGAUACAGGGUGACAGCCCCGUACACAAAAAUGCACAUGCUGUGAGCUCGAUGAGUAGGGCGGGACACGUGGUAUCCUGUCUGAAUAUGGGGGGACCAUCCUCCAAGGCUAAAUACUCCUGACUGACCGAUAGUGAACCAGUACCGUGAGGGAAAGGCGAAAAGAACCCCGGCGAGGGGAGUGAAAAAGAACCUGAAACCGUGUACGUACAAGCAGUGGGAGCACAGAGCAAUCUGUGUGACUGCGUACCUUUUGUAUAAUGGGUCAGCGACUUAUAUUCUGUAGCAAGGUUAACCGAAUAGGGGAGCCGAAGGGAAACCGAGUCUUAACUGGGCGUUAAGUUGCAGGGUAUAGACCCGAAACCCGGUGAUCUAGCCAUGGGCAGGUUGAAGGUUGGGUAACACUAACUGGAGGACCGAACCGACUAAUGUUGAAAAAUUAGCGGAUGACUUGUGGCUGGGGGUGAAAGGCCAAUCAAACCGGGAGAUAGCUGGUUCUCCCCGAAAGCUAUUUAGGUAGCGCCUCGUGAAUUCAUCUCCGGGGGUAGAGCACUGUUUCGGCAAGGGGGUCAUCCCGACUUACCAACCCGAUGCAAACUGCGAAUACCGGAGAAUGUUAUCACGGGAGACACACGGCGGGUGCUAACGUCCGUCGUGAAGAGGGAAACAACCCAGACCGCCAGCUAAGGUCCCAAAGUCAUGGUUAAGUGGGAAACGAUGUGGGAAGGCCCAGACAGCCAGGAUGUUGGCUUAGAAGCAGCCAUCAUUUAAAGAAAGCGUAAUAGCUCACUGGUCGAGUCGGCCUGCGCGGAAGAUGUAACGGGGCUAAACCAUGCACCGAAGCUGCGGCAGCGACACUAUGUGUUGUUGGGUAGGGGAGCGUUCUGUAAGCCUGUGAAGGUGUACUGUGAGGUAUGCUGGAGGUAUCAGAAGUGCGAAUGCUGACAUAAGUAACGAUAAAGCGGGUGAAAAGCCCGCUCGCCGGAAGACCAAGGGUUCCUGUCCAACGUUAAUCGGGGCAGGGUGAGUCGACCCCUAAGGCGAGGCCGAAAGGCGUAGUCGAUGGGAAACAGGUUAAUAUUCCUGUACUUGGUGUUACUGCGAAGGGGGGACGGAGAAGGCUAUGUUGGCCGGGCGACGGUUGUCCCGGUUUAAGCGUGUAGGCUGGUUUUCCAGGCAAAUCCGGAAAAUCAAGGCUGAGGCGUGAUGACGAGGCACUACGGUGCUGAAGCAACAAAUGCCCUGCUUCCAGGAAAAGCCUCUAAGCAUCAGGUAACAUCAAAUCGUACCCCAAACCGACACAGGUGGUCAGGUAGAGAAUACCAAGGCGCUUGAGAGAACUCGGGUGAAGGAACUAGGCAAAAUGGUGCCGUAACUUCGGGAGAAGG
RNAcentral lists this ribosomal RNA (1429 nucleotides) under Escherichia coli. RNAcentral describes it as "partial 23S ribosomal RNA". It matches the Rfam family "Bacterial large subunit ribosomal RNA", at positions 313 to 1746 of the family's 2925-position model. The record is from RNAcentral. Lineage: Bacteria; Pseudomonadati; Pseudomonadota; Gammaproteobacteria; Enterobacterales; Enterobacteriaceae.